This 368-nucleotide ribosomal RNA is filed under the name uncultured organism. Its description in RNAcentral is "bacterial SSU rRNA". It matches the Rfam family "Bacterial small subunit ribosomal RNA", at positions 526 to 896 of the family's 1533-position model. The record is from RNAcentral.
CGGAGGAUCCGAGCGUUAUCCGGAUUUAUUGGGUUUAAAGGGUGCGUAGGCGGGAUAGUAAGUCAGUGGUGAAAGCCCGCAGCUCAACUGCGGAACUGCCAUUGAUACUGCUAACCUUGAGUAUGUAUGAUGUGGGCGGAAUGUGCAGUGUAGCGGUGAAAUGCUUAGAUAUUGCACAGAACACCGAUUGCGAAGGCAGCUCACAAAACCAUAACUGACGCUGAGGCACGAAAGCGUGGGGAUCAAGCAGGAUUAGAUACCCUGGUAGUCCACGCCUUAAACGUUGAAUACUCGAUGUGUGCGAUAUACUGUACGCGUCUAAGCGAAAGUGAUAAGUAUUCCACCUGGGGAGUACGCUCGCAAGAGUG